RNAcentral lists this ribosomal RNA (109 nucleotides) under Amphilophus citrinellus (Midas cichlid). Lineage: Eukaryota; Metazoa; Chordata; Actinopteri; Cichliformes; Cichlidae. The record is from RNAcentral.
UCUUAUGGCCAUACCACCCUGAACAUGGCUCAUCUCAUCUGAUCUUGGAAGCUAAGCAGGGUUAGUGCUUGGAUGGGAGACCACCUGGCAAUAACAGGUCCAAUAAGGU